CCUACGGGGGGCAGCAGUGGGGAAUAUUGGACAAUGGGGGGAACCCUGAUCCAGCCAUGCCGCGUGUGUGAAGAAGGCCCUCGGGUUGUAAAGCACUUUCAGUGAGGAAGAACGCCUGGUGGUUAAUACCCAUCAGGAAAGACAUCACUCACAGAAGAAGCACCGGCUAACUCCGUGCCAGCAGCCGCGGUAAUACGGAGGGUGCGAGCGUUAAUCGGAAUUACUGGGCGUAAAGCGCGCGUAGGUGGCUUGAUAAGCCGGUUGUGAAAGCCCCGGGCUCAACCUGGGAACGGCAUCCGGAACUGUCAAGCUAGAGUGCAGGAGAGGAAGGUAGAAUUCCCGGUGUAGCGGUGAAAUGCGUAGAGAUCGGGAGGAAUACCAGUGGCGAAGGCGGCCUUCUGGACUGACACUGACACUGAGGUGCGAAAGCGCGGGUAGCAAACAGGAUUAGAUACCCCGGUAGUC
RNAcentral lists this ribosomal RNA (465 nucleotides) under Vreelandella stevensii. RNAcentral's name for it is "partial 16S ribosomal RNA". It matches the Rfam family "Bacterial small subunit ribosomal RNA", at positions 338 to 795 of the family's 1533-position model. Lineage: Bacteria; Pseudomonadati; Pseudomonadota; Gammaproteobacteria; Oceanospirillales; Halomonadaceae. The record is from RNAcentral.